CUAGAACAUAUCAGCCCUGUUGGUCCCUAGAACAUAUCAGCCCUGUUGGACCCUAGAACAUAUCAGCCCUGUUGGUCCCUAGAACAUAUCAGCCCUGUUGGUCCCUAGAACAUAUCAGCCCUGUUGGACCCUAGAACAUAUCAGCCCUGUUGGUCCCUAGAACAUAUCAGCCCUGUUGAACAUAUCAGCCCUGUUGGACCCUAGAACAUAUCAGCCCUGUUGGUCCCUAGAACAUAUCAGCCCUGUUGGACAUAUCAGCCCUGUUGGACAUAUCAGCCCUGUUGGUCCCUAGAACAUAUCAGCCCUGUUGGACAUAUCAGCCCUGUUGGACAUAUCAGCCCUGUUGGUCCCUAGAACAUAUCAGCCCUGUUGGACAUAUCAGCCCUGUUGGACAUAUCAGCCCUGUUGGACAUAUCAGCCCUGUUGAACAUAUCAGCCCUGUUGGUCCCUAGAACAUAUCAGCCCUGUUGGUCCCUAGAACAUAUCAGCCCUGUUGGACAUAUCAGCCCUGUUGGUCCCUAGAACAUAUCAGCCCUGUUGGUUCCUAGAACAU
Molecule: long non-coding RNA, 553 nt
Organism: Oncorhynchus keta (chum salmon)
Lineage: Eukaryota; Metazoa; Chordata; Actinopteri; Salmoniformes; Salmonidae
Exons: 3
Source: RefSeq, a predicted model, not a curated record